UCAGGAUGAACGCUAGCGGCAGGCUAACACAUGCAAGUCGAGGGGCAACGCGAGUAGCAAUACUUGGCGGCGACCGGCGCAAGGGUGCGUAACGCGUGAGCAACAUGCCCGUAUCAGGGGGAUAAUCCAGGGAAACUUGGUCUAAUACCCCAUAGUAAUUUUGUAAGGCAUCUUAUAAGAUUUAAAGCCUUGGUGGAUACGGAUUGGCUCGCGUGACAUUAGCUGGAUGGUAAGGUAACGGCUUACCAUGGCUAUGAUGUCUAGGGGUUCUGAGAGGAAGGUCCCCCCACACUGGAACUGAGACACGGUCCAGACUCCUACGGGAGGCAGCAGUGAGGAAUAUUGGACAAUGGAUGGAAAUCUGAUCCAGCCAUGCCGCGUGAAGGAAAAGAAGGUCCUAUGGAUUGUAAACUUCUUUUGUAUGGGAGCAAUAAGGCCUACGAGUAGGUUGAUGAGAGUACCAUACGAAUAAGCACCGGCUAACUCCGUGCCAGCAGCCGC
This 501-nucleotide ribosomal RNA is filed under the name uncultured bacterium. Its description in RNAcentral is "bacterial SSU rRNA". It matches the Rfam family "Bacterial small subunit ribosomal RNA", at positions 24 to 518 of the family's 1533-position model. The record is from RNAcentral.